This is a non-coding RNA of Delphinapterus leucas (beluga whale), 2080 nucleotides long. Lineage: Eukaryota; Metazoa; Chordata; Mammalia; Artiodactyla; Monodontidae. The record is from RefSeq and is a predicted model, not a curated record.
CCCCAAAUUUGGGGAGCUAGUCCAGAACCGUCCAGCCAACAUCCUAGAUUUUUUUGGGAUUUUUUGGGGCCCCCGGGACCCCUCUAGAUGGGGUGAGGAAUGUAGUGUUGGGGGAAUCUGACUGGGGCAUUGCAGCUGCCUCUCCCGCCGAGUUGGAGACGGAUGGGCUGGGACGGGUUUGGGGGGGGUGUCCCCAAUUCUGACUGGGAGUGGAGGAGCCCCCUCAUGUGCUCUCUUGUGGGGGUCCCCCCUCCCUAGGGCACUCCCCACUCCCUGAGCCAGCCGAGAGGAAGGAGGCCAGCGAUGCGACUGGGGCGGCUCCUUUCUCCUGCACCCCAAAUGUGAGGGAUGCACCCCAAAUUUUGUUCCCUUCAAAAUAGGGGACCAGGAUCUCAGGGGAGAGUAGCUGAGGGUCCUCGUUUUCCUGAAGCCUUGCAGCCACUUAGGGCAAAUGGAGCCUGAAGAGUGGAGUCCAACUGAGAGUGCGAAAGGCCCGUCUUCUAAUUCUCUUCUGGGAGAGAUGUAUGAAUGUGGAAGGCUACCAGUUCUCCAGGGACUUUGUUGCUAACAAAACUAGCAACAAAGUAGGAAAGAUGUUGAGCUGGAAGGGAGUUUGAGGAAGAUGGAACAAUGGGUAUGGAGGAAGAAAGCUGCCCACCCGCCCCUUCUCUGCCAGCCAACCCUCCCUCACACUGUCCGUUCCUUGAUGACACAGCUGAUGUGAUUAAGAUCGUCCCCAAAUCGCUUCACAGCAGCCCUCAGCAUCUCUAUCUCCGUCUCCGUCCACUUGGCACUGUCAGAAGGGGAGAAGGGAAUAGCGAAAGUGGGAGGAAGAGGGGUGUGGAGCCAGCCCACAGGCUACGCAUUCCACAGCAACCAGCCUCCUCCCCGCGAUGCCUGGGGCCCCUUGCAUAAAGAGGUCCUCCUUAAAAAAACAAAAACAAAAGCAAAAAAAAAAAAUUCUUAAGGCGCCGUGGGAACCCUGCGGACCUCCAACCACACGAUAUUGUAACAACCGCCACCUUAGAAGAAAACUUCUCCCCCAUCAACGUGAAACAGCUGCUUAUGUAAACAGCCCACUGAAACCCAUCCAACAAGUGGGGGUCUUACAGACAGAGCCUCUAAACACAGUCUGCUGCAGUCUGACAGAAUUCCACAUGAUUUGGGGGGUGGGGUGGUGUGGGUAGUGGUGGCGGUCUAUGGUCUACCAGUUCGCAGCAGGGUAGAGCUGUGAAAUGAGUCCGGAUUAUGAGCCUCGGUCUGUGGUUUAUCUGUCAUUCAUUCAUUCAACAAUCAUUUAUUAACACCUACUCUGCGCUGUGCCAGGCACAAAGGGAAACUAACAUCUGUCCCUGCCCUAGAGAGUGUCGGUGUCUGUGAUCGAGACCCAGCGUCCGCUCUCAGCGUCCAUCUCCCAGCCCGGGCUCACGUACCCCGCGGGGGAAGAGUCGGCCACGGGAUGCAGCUGCAUGGUCAGCUCCCCGAGCUUCGUGAAGGCGGCGCCCGCCGCGGAGAAGAUCUCUCCGACCUGGGGGGCGGGGCAGCAUUACGGGGGGCCGGCGCACAGUGCCGCGCCGGACCGCCCGGAGCCCCUAGCCCCACCCCAGGCUGGACUCCCGCCCGCCCCUCGCCCGGGAUGGAAGAGCCGGGAGCCAACUUGGGGGCCCCGCCCUCCCGUGGCCGCCAGGGAGCGCUGUCCGCGAGGGAGGUCGAACCUUUGUAGACGCUGACGUCAUGGCCCCGCGCGCCUCCUCACGGAGACGUUGCCGCCGCCGCUACCUCGGAGCCGGGACCACGGAGAGCAGGGCGAUCGAACGGCUCCUGCCCCCGCGCAGGAAGUCCCGCCCCUUCCCGCAGCUGAUUGGCUCCAGCUCGGCCGCUCACCGCCUCACCGCCUCGGCGCGCGGGAAGGAGAGUGGAAGACACCGCCUCGCUUCCGGCCCGGCUUCACUCCACUUCCGUCGAGGGGUCGGGACUCCCUAUUUGGAGUCCGAUCUCCAGCCCGGAUGCCUGCCCCUCAACCCAUGCACACACACGAGGCUUAAGAGAGCAGUUUCUCUUUAUUGUGUAACGAGACAAG